RNAcentral lists this ribosomal RNA (1099 nucleotides) under Klebsiella pneumoniae. RNAcentral describes it as "partial 23S ribosomal RNA". It matches the Rfam family "Bacterial large subunit ribosomal RNA", at positions 104 to 1247 of the family's 2925-position model. The record is from RNAcentral. Lineage: Bacteria; Pseudomonadati; Pseudomonadota; Gammaproteobacteria; Enterobacterales; Enterobacteriaceae.
CCGGCGAUGUCCGAAUGGGGAAACCCAGUGCAAUUCGUUGCACUAUCGUUAACUGAAUACAUAGGUUAACGAGGCGAACCGGGGGAACUGAAACAUCUAAGUACCCCGAGGAAAAGAAAUCAACCGAGAUUCCCCCAGUAGCGGCGAGCGAACGGGGAGCAGCCCAGAGUCUGAAUCAGCUUGUGUGUUAGUGGAACGGUCUGGAAAGUCCGACGGUACAGGGUGAUAGUCCCGUACACCAAAAUGCACAGGCUGUGAACUCGAAGAGUAGGGCGGGACACGUGGUAUCCUGUCUGAAUAUGGGGGGACCAUCCUCCAAGGCUAAAUACUCCUGACUGACCGAUAGUGAACCAGUACCGUGAGGGAAAGGCGAAAAGAACCCCGGCGAGGGGAGUGAAAAAGAACCUGAAACCGUGUACGUACAAGCAGUGGGAGCACCUUCGGGUGUGACUGCGUACCUUUUGUAUAAUGGGUCAGCGACUUAUAUUCUGUAGCAAGGUUAACCGUAUAGGGGAGCCGCAGGGAAACCGAGUCUUAACUGGGCGUUAAGUUGCAGGGUAUAGACCCGAAACCCGGUGAUCUAGCCAUGGGCAGGUUGAAGGUUGGGUAACACUAACUGGAGGACCGAACCGACUAAUGUUGAAAAAUUAGCGGAUGACUUGUGGCUGGGGGUGAAAGGCCAAUCAAACCGGGAGAUAGCUGGUUCUCCCCGAAAGCUAUUUAGGUAGCGCCUCGUGAAUUCAUCUUCGGGGGUAGAGCACUGUUUCGGCUAGGGGGUCAUCCCGACUUACCAACCCGAUGCAAACUACGAAUACCGAAGAAUGUUAUCACGGGAGACACACGGCGGGUGCUAACGUCCGUCGUGAAGAGGGAAACAACCCAGACCGCCAGCUAAGGUCCCAAAGUCAUGGUUAAGUGGGAAACGAUGUGGGAAGGCACAGACAGCCAGGAUGUUGGCUUAGAAGCAGCCAUCAUUUAAAGAAAGCGUAAUAGCUCACUGGUCGAGUCGGCCUGCGCGGAAGAUGUAACGGGGCUAAACCAUGCACCGAAGCUGCGGCAGCGACACUAUGUGUUGUUGGGUAGGGGAGCGUUCUGUAAG